CAAGUUAAGAAAUAUAAAACCACAGUUUCUGCAAACUCUCUCUCUCUCCAAACAUGGUCAUAAUACUCCGGUAUUCCAAGAGAAGUUUGUGUUUUCGUUAAUUGAAGGUCUUAGAGAGAUAAGUGUUGCAGUUUGGAACAGCAAUACAAAAGACGAUUUCAUUGGCAACGGAAAGGUCCAAUUGGGGAAGGUUCUUUCAAAGGGUUACGACGACCACACUUGGUGUCUGUAUACUAAUAGUGGGGGGUAAGUGCUAUAAAUUACUAACCCUUUUAAGUGUAUAAUCUGUUUCUAAAAUUAUCUAUAAUAUUUUGUCCUCCAAAAAUUUUAUCUCUU
Quercus robur (English oak) is the source of this 336-nucleotide long non-coding RNA. RefSeq lists it as uncharacterized. Lineage: Eukaryota; Viridiplantae; Streptophyta; Magnoliopsida; Fagales; Fagaceae. The record is from RefSeq and is a predicted model, not a curated record. The transcript is spliced from 3 exons.